Molecule: ribosomal RNA, 301 nt
Filed under: uncultured bacterium
Lineage: Bacteria
Description: partial 16S ribosomal RNA
Rfam family: Bacterial small subunit ribosomal RNA
Source: RNAcentral
CAGUAGCCGCGGGAAUACGUAGGUCCCGAGCGUUGUCCGGAUUUAUUGGGCGUAAAGGGAGCGCAGGCGGUUUAGUAAGUCUGAAGUUAAAGGCAUUGGCUCAACCAAUGUAUGCUUUGGAAACUGUUAGACUUGAGUGCAGAAGGGGAGAGUGGAAUUCCAUGUGUAGCGGUGAAAUGCGUAGAUAUAUGGAGGAACACCGGUGGCGAAGGCGGCUCACUGGUCCAUUACUGACGCUGAGGUGCGAAAGCGUGGGGAGCGAACAGGAUUAGAUACCCCGGUAGUCCCUGUCUCUUAUACA